RNAcentral lists this transfer RNA (72 nucleotides) under Camelus bactrianus (Bactrian camel). It matches the Rfam family "tRNA". Rfam says of the family: Transfer RNA (tRNA) molecules are approximately 80 nucleotides in length. Their secondary structure includes four short double-helical elements and three loops (D, anti-codon, and T loops). RNAcentral also lists the same sequence under 2 other names. The record is from Rfam by way of RNAcentral. Lineage: Eukaryota; Metazoa; Chordata; Mammalia; Artiodactyla; Camelidae.
GAGGGUAGAGCUCAGUGGUAGAGCGGGUGCUUAGCAUGCACGAGGUCCUGGGUUCAGUCCCCAGUACCUCCA